GAUGAACGCUGGCGGCGUGCCUAACACAUGCAAGUCGAGCGAACGGACGAUAAGCUUGCGUCUCUGAUGUUAGCCGCGGACGGGUGAGUAACACGUGGAUAACCUCCCUAUAAUACUGGGAUAACUUCGGGACACCGGCGCUAAUACCGGAUAAUAUUUUGAACCGCAUGGUUCAAAAGUGAAAGACGGUCUUGCUGUCACUUAUAGAUGGAUCUGGGCUGCAUUAGCUAGUUGGUAAGGUAACGGCUUACCAAGGCAACGAUGCAUAGCCGACCUGAGAGGCGGAUAGGCCACACGGGAAGUGAGCCGCCGUCCAGACUCCUAAGGGAGGCAGCAGUAGGCAAUCUGCCGCAAUGGGCGAAAGCCUUACGGAGCAAGCCCGCGUGAGAGAUGAAGGUCUUCGGAUCGUGAAACUCUGUUAUUAGGUAAGAACAUAUGUGUAAGUAGCUGUGCACAGCUUGACGGUACCUAAUAAGAAAGCCACGGCUAACUACGUG
Molecule: ribosomal RNA, 497 nt
Filed under: uncultured bacterium
Lineage: Bacteria
Description: partial 16S ribosomal RNA
Rfam family: Bacterial small subunit ribosomal RNA
Source: RNAcentral